RNAcentral lists this ribosomal RNA (496 nucleotides) under uncultured bacterium. RNAcentral's name for it is "partial 16S ribosomal RNA". It matches the Rfam family "Bacterial small subunit ribosomal RNA", at positions 29 to 507 of the family's 1533-position model. The record is from RNAcentral.
AUGAACGCUGGCGGCGUGCCUAAUACAUGCCAGUCGAGCGAACAGACGAGGAGCUUGCUCCUCUGACGUUAGCGGCGGACGGGUGAGUAACACGUGGAUAACCUACCUAUAAGACUGGGAUAACUUCGGGAAACCGGAGCUAAUACCGGAUAAUAUAUUGAACCGCAUGGUUCAAUAGUGAAAGACGGUUUUGCUGUCACUUAUAGAUGGAUCCGCGCCGUAUUAGCUAGUUGGUAAGGUAACGGCUUACCAAGGCAACGAUGCGUAGCCGACCUGAGAGGGUGAUCGGCCACACUGGAACUGAGACACGGUCCAGACUCCUACGGGAGGCAGCAGUAGGGAAUCUUCCGCAAUGGGCGAAAGCUUGACGGAGCAACGCCGCGUGAGUGAUGAAGGUCCUCGGAUCGUAAAACUCUGUUAUUAGGGAAGAACAAAUGUGUAAGUAACUAUGCACGUCUUGACGGUACCUAAUCAGAAAGCCACGGCUAACUACGUG